GCGGGGCGGGGCGGGGCGGCGCGCGGCCGGCCCGUCCCCCGCGCGGAAGAUGGCGGCCGGGCGGCGCGGCGGCGGCUCCCCCAGCGGCCGGAGCGGCACCCAGCGGCCGGGAGCCGGCGGGCCGCGGCCGGCCUGAGCCGUCCGCGCCGCGCCGGGGGACGCCCGCCGGCAGCCGAGCCCUGCCCGCCCGGCGCGGCCGCUGCGGCAGCUGGAGGGAGCGGCGGUGAGCCGGGCGUUGCUGGCUGCUGAACAAAGGUGCUGCUGGAAAGGUUCCUGGUGUUUUUACUGAAUCUGUAUCUGGUACAACACAGCUGUUUUUCAGACUGUAUUUACGCUUUUUGAGAACGUUGUUCCUAAGAGAGAAGCAGCGGAUGAGUAUUUUUCCUUCUCCGGAUUGUGAUCAGAGGAUGCAAAGAGAAGGUGCCAUCAUGUGAAUGGGAAGCAGCUAGCUGAGAAACAGGACACCUGGGAAGGCUGAGCUGAACGCGCCUGUGCACAGGAUGACAGACUGAUUUGCUCUUGGAGGCAAGAGGUUCAGAAACCCCCUCCUCCAAAAGACUUUGCUGAGCGAGAGGAGGGGAACAGGAGGCAGCACACAGAAGAGCAAUGGGAAUUGAGGGCCAUGGUUACUUGAGAUAAAUGGCAGAUCCCUGGGAGUCUAGCCUUGUAGCUGUUCGCUUUAGCUUUGUCUCUCUCCGCAGCUGCUGCUGCUUUUCUGCAAGCUGCUGCUGGGUGCUGCCGCGGUGGCGCUGGAGGUUUCGAGGGCGGCGUGGGAGCAGAGCGUGAGGAGGGGGUGGGCAGCCCGCCUCACCAUGAUUCAGCUGUGGAAAGUGGUGCGGCACGUGCGACAGCUGGAGCUCCACAGACUGAUCCUGCUGCUCAUCGCCUUCAGCCUGAUCUCCAUGUGCAUCCUGGCUUACUACGUCACUAACAGCCCCAAAAUCAAGGAGCCGCCACCCCUGCCCUUCAGUGACUGCAGCAACCAGCACCGCAUCUUGAUCCCACCACAAGCCAGCUGGAGGCUUACAAAGUCUGUGGACACCUCGCGCACGGACCCGGUGGUGCUAGUCUUUGUGGAAAGCAUUUACUCCCAGCUGGGGCAGGAAAUCGUGGCCAUCCUGGAAUCUAGCCGGUUUAAAUACAGGACAGAGAUCGCCCCUGGCAAGGGGGAUAUGCCUACCCUGACGGACAAAGACAGGGGACGCUACGCUCUUAUUAUCUAUGAGAAUAUCCUUAAAUAUGUGAACCUAGACGCCUGGAACCGAGAGCUGCUGGACAAAUACUGCGUAGAGUACGGAGUGGGGAUUAUAGGCUUUUUCAAAGCCAACGAGAACAGCCUACUCAGCGCGCAGCUCAAGGGUUUCCCCCUUUUCCUCCAUUCCAACUUAGGGCUGCGGGACUAUCACAUCAACCCCAGUGCUCCCCUGCUCUAUGUCACCCGGGCUAACGAGGUGGAGCAGGGUCCCCUGCCCGGGGACGACUGGACCGUGUUCCAGUCAAACCACAGCACAUAUGAGCCGGUGCUGUUGGCCAGCACAAAGUCCUCGGAGUCCAUUCCUCACCUGGCUACGCACAAAGCGUUGCAUGCCACGGUGGUGCAGGACCUGGGUCUGCACGAUGGGAUCCAGCGGGUUCUUUUCGGCAAUAACCUCAACUUUUGGCUGCACAAACUCAUUUUCGUGGAUGCCAUUGCCUACCUGACUGGCAAGCGCCUCUGUCUCACACUUGAUCGCUAUAUCCUCGUCGACAUCGAUGAUAUAUUUGUGGGCAAAGAGGGCACUCGCAUGAAGGUGUCUGAUGUAGAGGCUUUACUGAGCACCCAGAAUAAGCUGAGAACUUUAGUCCCAAAUUUCACCUUCAACCUGGGCUUCUCAGGGAAAUUCUACCACACAGGUACAGAUGAGGAAGAUGAAGGGGAUGACAUGCUGCUCAAACACAGGAAGGAGUUCUGGUGGUUCCCUCACAUGUGGAGUCACAUGCAACCUCAUCUUUUCCACAAUGUCACUGUGCUGGCUGAGCAGAUGAAGCUCAACAAGCAGUUUGCUGUGGAGCAUGGGAUUCCCACAGACUUGGGCUAUGCUGUAGCCCCCCAUCAUUCUGGGGUGUAUCCUGUCCACACACAACUCUAUGAGGCUUGGAAAUCCGUGUGGAGCAUCCAGGUAACAAGCACGGAGGAAUACCCACACCUGCGGCCUGCUCGGUACCGCCGUGGAUUCAUCCAUAACGGAAUCAUGGUUUUGCCUCGACAGACCUGUGGUCUUUUUACUCACACUAUCUUCUACAAUGAAUAUCCCGGUGGCUCAAAGGAGCUGGACAAAAGCAUUCGUGGUGGUGAACUCUUCCUGACAGUGCUCCUGAACCCAAUCAGCAUCUUCAUGACCCACCUGUCUAAUUAUGGAAAUGACCGUCUGGGACUGUACACUUUUGAGAGCCUGGUCAAGUUUGUGCAGUGCUGGACCAACCUUCGCCUGCAAACGCUGCCCCCUGUCCAGCUCGCAAAAAAGUACUUCGAAAUCUUUCCCCAGGAGAAGAAUCCCUUGUGGCAGAAUCCAUGUGACGAUAAGAGGCACAAGGAUAUCUGGUCCAAAGAGAAAACAUGUGAUCGGCUCCCCAAGUUCCUCAUCGUGGGACCUCAGAAAACUGGUACAACAGCUGUGCACUUCUUCUUGACCAUGCAUCCAGCUGUCACCAGUAACUUUCCGAGUCCAUCCACCUUUGAGGAGAUCCAGUUUUUUAAUGGACCCAACUAUCAUAAAGGAAUUGAUUGGUACAUGGAAUUCUUCCCCAUCCCCUCCAAUGCCAGCACAGACUUCAUGUUUGAGAAGAGUGCCAAUUACUUUGACACAGAGGUGGUACCGAAACGUGGUGCAGCCCUGCUUCCUCGAGCCAAAAUCAUUACUGUCCUGAUCAACCCUGCUGACCGAGCCUACUCAUGGUACCAGCACCAACGUGCUCACGAUGACCCUGUGGCGCUGAAUUACACCUUCUACCAGGUGAUCUCUGCAAGAUCCCAGGCCCCUCAGGAACUGCGCAACCUGCAAAGUCGAUGCCUGCUCCCUGGCUGGUAUUCAACUCAUCUGGAGCGUUGGCUAACAUACUUCCCCUCUGGGCAGGUUCUCAUAGUGGAUGGUCAGGAGCUGAGACACAACCCUGUCUCUGUAAUGGACAGCAUCCAGAAGUUCUUGGGUGUUACACCACUCUUCAACUACACCCAGGCCCUCAGAUUUGAUGAAGCAAAAGGAUUUUGGUGCCAGCUGCUAGAUGGAGGAAAGACUAAAUGCCUAGGAAAGAGUAAAGGAAGAAAAUACCCUGAUAUGGAUGUCUCGUCACGGCUGUUCCUAAGAGACUUUUAUCGGGAGCACAACAUUGAAUUAUCCAAGCUGAUGAACAGACUUGGACAACCGCUUCCGACCUGGCUCCGAGAGGAACUUCAGAAUUCCAGCUGGAGCUGAGAGGGACGCCCUUGCCCCCAGUGCCACUGGGAUGUGUGGUGCUCUAAUGUGUGCUACGAUGCCAUCUCUUGUCAAGCCAAAACAACUGGACAAAUGAGCAGGAGCAGAGAACAGACAUAUAUGUGGAGCUCUUCCCCACCUUUGGGAAGGGCUGCUGCCUCUGACACUGCCCUGAGGCGGGGAGUGCAAAUCACAUGCUUGAGUAUUAAUGGUGUGUUACACUUCAACUCUUACUUACAGGGAGGAUUUAAAAUGCCUGCCCCGCGUUGAGCAGGAGGAGAGAGCACAUUAACGCUUUAUGUUUAAAGUGCUCAGUGUAUGAAGCAGGCACUAGCUGAAGAAUUAAUGUCUUACUCCUCUGAGUCCACUAGAAAAGAAAUAAGAGGUGAGCCCACUGCCGAGAAAAGCACAGCAGCUUAACGAAAGGGGAAUCUAGUCCAGUGAACCCCAGCUUUACCUAGUAGUCUAACUUGGCAGCAACAGAUGGAAGAAGGCCUCCCCCUGCAGAGUGCAGCGGCGGUGAUCACUGCUUACAGUGCUAUGGCGUGUGGCUCCUGGGGACUGCGCCAGCCCUCCACCCUGCUUGCAGACAGACGUUACAGAUUACCUCUCCUGGUCUGCAGCAUUGCUGGUGUGAUAUGGUGUCCAGUGAGCUUGCUCCAGGGUCAGACAGCGACAAGGAAGAGCCACAGAUAGAUAUCAACACAAAAAAAACCAUGUUUGUUAACUUAGGGAAAGGUUGCCAUAUGUGGCAACAUGGCUGGGUAACAUGUAUUUCUCUGCAGGGAUUUUAACCAUUUCAAAAGCGAGAGAUCCAAGCAGUAACACUGACACCUCAGAAUACUUCCAGGAUGUGUUAGCGCAGCACAGCAGCUGGGGGAGGCCAAAUCUCAGGUACUUGUAAAAUAAGGCUGAUGCAGGUGAAGCCAGACAGGUUGGUUCCCUGUAUCUAAUCAGCUUCAAAAAAAUUGCAACAUUUUUCUCUUUCCAGCAGCUCCAGGGCCCCUACCAGGUAUGCUGAUAACUAGCAUCUGUUUAAUCCCCCUGCAGUCCAACAAUCCAAGGAGAAAGGCAAAACCCAGGUAAAAGUAAGUAUCACUCAGAUGUAAAGGGAAGGCUUAGAGUUAGAAGUGGUUUCCUGUAUCCAAAAAAUGGGCAGUUUACUACUUCUGCAGCAGAUAGUCAAGUAACUACACUAAGGUGCUUUGCCUCCUCUGCAAUUGCUGGAUAAUUAUUCUCAGAGUAAUUCCUCCAGCACAUGGUUGUACAUGUCUUCUCCUGCUGAGCGAUGGCUUCUGAAGUCCUUUGGGCCAUCUUCCUUCCCCAGGCACAGAUGGUUCUUAAAGAUUGCUGCAGUUCCAGAGAGGGGCAGGAUCCAUAUAAACACAGAUUAUGGCAACUUCCACAACUUUCAUAGGCUCCUCUUCUCCUAUCAGAGGAGAGAGGUUGCUUUAACCAAGCUUUUCCAUUGAGCCUUAGGUAUUGUGUAUUUCUGAAUGGUGCAUUUACCAUUGUAUGUAAAUGUAUAUAGUAUGCAAUAUAGUAUUUUAUUUCAUGUGCCCUUGGAAAGGGUAAUUUUGUGCAGCCAAAAAAAAGAAGGACAGAAAGAAUAGAAACCUCUCUCUCACUCCUGUUACAGAGAAGAGCCCAACGUCCUGCACUGGAUUCAUGUAUAGCAUCAUUCACAUUGAAUGAUAAUGAAGAAAUUCUUGGCUCUCGCCGCUGAGCACAAGUGUCUGAAUAAAGGCUAGAAGUAGUAAAAGCCGUCAGACCGUAUAUACCAACCUCAGCAAAGAAAGCUCAGCACGUGAAACUGAAAAUUCUGCGCCCUCGAGACCUCCGGAAUGCAAUCAAUCACGAAGAUGCUUAUAAGUAGGCGGCCACCUCUUCCUACUAGGUGCAGGAAAUACAGGGCUAUGCUGGCAACUGGUAUAAUUCUCAACUAUAGAGUGAAAGACAUUUUAAGGGAACGGGGAGAAUUUCCUUGUAAGCUGCAGCAAGGAUCAACUCUACAGGAAACCUGAUACCUGAAAAACUGAACUUUUCAAUUGAUGACAGCACUGCAAAGACACAUUCCUGGCUGAAACUGGAAGUCAGAAAGAAAAAAAAAUCUUAACGUUAAUCUGACAAAGAAAGAACCUAAUCUAAUAAACUGGUCCUGUUGUUUACUAUAUGUCACAGUCA
Molecule: RNA transcript, 5636 nt
Organism: Dromaius novaehollandiae (emu)
Lineage: Eukaryota; Metazoa; Chordata; Aves; Casuariiformes; Dromaiidae
Gene: NDST2
Gene name: N-deacetylase and N-sulfotransferase 2
Exons: 18
Source: RefSeq, a predicted model, not a curated record